RNAcentral lists this ribosomal RNA (444 nucleotides) under uncultured bacterium. Its description in RNAcentral is "bacterial SSU rRNA". It matches the Rfam family "Bacterial small subunit ribosomal RNA", at positions 331 to 792 of the family's 1533-position model. The record is from RNAcentral.
CCAGACUCCUACGGGAGGCAGCAGUGGGGAAUAUUGCACAAUGGGGGAAACCCUGAUGCAGCGACGCCGCGUGAGUGAAGAAGUAUUUCGGUAUGUAAAGCUCUAUCAGCAGGGAAGAAAAUGACGGUACCUGACUAAGAAGCCCCGGCUAACUACGUGCCAGCAGCCGCGGUAAUACGUAGGGGGCAAGCGUUAUCCGGAUUUACUGGGUGUAAAGGGAGCGUAGACGGCAGCGCAAGUCUGAAGUGAAAUCCCGUGGCUUAACCAUGGAACUGCUUUGGAAACUGUGCAGCUGGAGUGUAGGAGAGGUAAGCGGAAUUCCUAGUGUAGCGGUGAAAUGCGUAGAUAUUAGGAGGAACACCAGUGGCGAAGGCGGCUUACUGGACUGUAACUGACGUUGAGGCUCGAAAGCGUGGGGAGCAAACAGGAUUAGAUACCCCAGUA